CUGUGAUGGUGGAGCGACGAGUUUUCCAGCUGGCAUCUGGGAGUCCUUUCCUUGUCCACGCAGACUUUGCAUUUCAGACCAAGCUGCAUGUGCUGCUCGGCCUGGAGUACAUGAGCUGCGGGGACUUUUACACCUACCUACUGAUGAAGGACCAGCUUGACAUCCCCAGUGCAAGAUUCUAUGCCGCUGAACUCGUCUGUGGAAUCCAAUUCCUGCACUCAAAGGGCGUCAUCCACAGAGACCUGAAGCCCGAGAACAUCUUGGUGGCUGAAACGGGCCAUGUAAAGAUCACUGAUUUUGGUCU
Long non-coding RNA from Bufo bufo (common toad), 304 nucleotides. RefSeq lists it as uncharacterized. Lineage: Eukaryota; Metazoa; Chordata; Amphibia; Anura; Bufonidae. The transcript has 4 exons. The record is from RefSeq and is a predicted model, not a curated record.